This 934-nucleotide long non-coding RNA is filed under the name Salmo salar (Atlantic salmon). RNAcentral's name for it is "lncRNA (ENSSSAG00000095230.1)". The record is from RNAcentral. Lineage: Eukaryota; Metazoa; Chordata; Actinopteri; Salmoniformes; Salmonidae.
ACGGUACAGAGUCAAUGUGGAGGCUAUAUACAGGGGGUACCGGUACAGAGUCAAUGUGGAGACUAUAUACAGGGUAUUACGGUACAGAGUCAAUGUGGAGGCUAUAUACAGGGGGUACCGGUACAGAGUCAAUGUGGAGGCUAUAUACAGGGGGUACCGGUACAGAGUCAAUGUGGAGGCUAUAUACAGGGGGUACCGGUACAGAGUCAAUGUGGAGGCUAUAUACAGGGGGUACCGGUACAGAGUCAAUGUGGAGGCUAUAUACAGGGUAUUACGGUACAGAGUCAAUGUGGAGGCUAUAUACAGGGUAUUACGGUACAGAGUCAAUGUGGAGGCUAUAUACAGGGGGGUGCCGGUACAGAGUCAAUGUGGAGCCUAUAUACAGGGGGGUGCCGGUACAGAGUCAAUGUGGAGGCUAUAUACAGGGGGGUGCCGGUACAGAGUCAAUGUGGAGGCUAUAUACAGGGGGGUGCCGGUACAGAGUCAAUGUGGAGGCUAUAUACAGGGUAUUAUGGUACAGAGUCAAUGUGGAGGCUAUAUACAGGGUAUUACGGUACAGAGUCAAUGUGGAGGCUAUAUACAGGGUAUUACGGUACAGAGUCAAUGUGGAGGCUAUAUACAGGGUAUUACGGUACAGGGUCAAUGUGGAGGCUAUAUACAGGGGGUACCGGUACAGAGUCAAUGUGGAGGCUAUAUACAGGGUAUUACGGUACAGAGUCAAUGUGGAGGCUAUAUACAGGGGGUACCGGUACAGAGUCAAUGUGGAGGCUAUAUACAGGGUGUUACGGUACAGAGUCAAUGUGGAGGCUAUAUACAGGGGGUACCGGUACAGAGUCAAUGUGGAGGCUAUAUACAGGGGGUACCGGUACAGAGUCAAUGUGGAGGCUAUAUACAGGGGGUACCGGUACAGAGUCAAUGUGGAGGCUAUGUACAG